AACGGGGAGUACUUACUUCGGUUUUUACUCCUAGUGGCGAACGGGUGAGUAACGCGUUGGUGACCUGCCCCGAAGAGGGGGAUAACUCCGCGGAAGCGGAGCUAAUACCCCAUGUGGUCGUCCAGGUUAGAGACUGGACGUCUAAAGGAGCAAUCCACUUCGGGAGGGGCCUGCGUCCCAUCAGCUAGUUGGUAGGGUAACGGCCUACCAAGGCGAUGACGGGUAGGGGGCCUGAGAGGGUGGCCCCCCACACUGGCACUGAAACACGGGCCAGACAUCUACGGAUGGCAGCAGUAGGGAAUAUUGCACAAUGGGCGAAAGCCUGAUGCAGCAACGCCGCGUGCGCGAAGAAGGCCUUCGGGUUGUAAAGCGCUUUUCUGGAGGAAGAGGAAGGACGGUACUCCAGGAAUAAGGAUCGGCUAACUACGUGCCAGCAGCCGCGGUAACACGUAGGAUCCGAGCGUUAUCCGAAUUUACUGGGCGUAAAGCGCGUGUAGGCGGCUGGGUAAGUUGGACGUGAAAGCUCCUGGCUCAACUGGGAGAGGUCGUUCAAAACUGCCCGGCUAGAGGGCGACAGAGGGAGGUGGAAUUCCCGGUGUAGUGGUGAAAUGCGUAGAUAUCGGGAGGAACACCAGUGGCGAAGGCGGCCUCCUGGGUCGCACCUGACGCUCAGACGCGAAAGCUAGGGGAGCAAACGGGAUUAGAUACCCCGGUAGUCCUAGCUGUAAACGAUGUGGACUUGGCGUUGGUGGGGUUAAAUCCAUCAGUGCCGGAGCUAACGCGAUAAGUCCACCGCCUGGG
This 801-nucleotide ribosomal RNA is filed under the name uncultured bacterium. RNAcentral describes it as "bacterial SSU rRNA". It matches the Rfam family "Bacterial small subunit ribosomal RNA", at positions 65 to 877 of the family's 1533-position model. The record is from RNAcentral.